CAAGUGAAGAAGCGCAUACGGUGGAUGCCUUGGCAGUCAGAGGCGAUGAAAGACGUGGUAGCCUGCGAUAAGCUUCGGGGAGUCGGCAAACAGACUUUGAUCCGGAGAUCUCUGAAUGGGGGAACCCACUCAGCAUAAGCUGAGUAUCUUGUACUGAAUACAUAGGUGCAAGAGGCGAACCAGGGGAACUGAAACAUCUAAGUACCCUGAGGAAAAGAAAUCAACCGAGAUUCCCUUAGUAGUGGCGAGCGAACGGGGACUAGCCCUUAAGUGGCUUUGAGAUUAGCGGAACGCUCUGGAAAGUGCGGCCAUAGUGGGUGAUAGCCCUGUACGCGAAAAUCUCUUAGUCAUGAAAUCGAGUAGGACGGAGCACGAGAAACUUUGUCUGAAUAUGGGGGGACCAUCCUCCAAGGCUAAAUACUACUGACUGACCGAUAGUGAACCAGUACCGUGAGGGAAAGGCGAAAAGAACCCCGGAGAGGGGAGUGAAAUAGA
Molecule: ribosomal RNA, 495 nt
Filed under: Pseudomonas donghuensis
Lineage: Bacteria; Pseudomonadati; Pseudomonadota; Gammaproteobacteria; Pseudomonadales; Pseudomonadaceae
Description: bacterial LSU rRNA
Rfam family: Bacterial large subunit ribosomal RNA
Source: RNAcentral